GAUGAACGCUGGCGGCGUGCCUAAUACAUGCAAGUCGAGCGAACAGACGAGGAGCUUGCUCCUCUGACGUUAGCGGCGGACGGGUGAUUAACACGUGGAUAACCUACCUAUAAGACUGGGAUAACUUCGGGAAACCGGAGCUAAUACCGGAUAAUAUAUUGAACCGCAUGGUUCAAUAGUGAAAGACGGUUUUGCUGUCACUUAUAGAUGGAUCCGCGCCGCAUUAGCUAGUUGGUAAGGUAACGGCUUACCAAGGCGACGAUGCGUAGCCGACCUGAGAGGGUGAUCGGCCACACUGGAACUGAGACACGGUCCAGACUCCUACGGGAGGCAGCAGUAGGGAAUCUUCCGCAAUGGGCGAAAGCCUGACGGAGCAACGCCGCGUGAGUGAUGAAGGUCUUCGGAUCGUAAAACUGUGUUAUUAGGGAAGAACAAAUGUGUAAGUAACUAUGCACGUCUUGACGGUACCUAAUCAGAAAGCCACGGCUAACUACGUG
RNAcentral lists this ribosomal RNA (497 nucleotides) under uncultured bacterium. RNAcentral describes it as "partial 16S ribosomal RNA". It matches the Rfam family "Bacterial small subunit ribosomal RNA", at positions 28 to 507 of the family's 1533-position model. The record is from RNAcentral.